This 199-nucleotide ribosomal RNA is filed under the name uncultured bacterium. RNAcentral describes it as "partial 16S ribosomal RNA". It matches the Rfam family "Bacterial small subunit ribosomal RNA", at positions 328 to 539 of the family's 1533-position model. The record is from RNAcentral.
ACGCUCGACACCUACGGGGGGCAGCAGUGGGGGAAUAUUGCACAAUGGGGGAAACCCUGAUGCAGCAACGCCGCGUGAAGGAAGACGGUUUUCGGAUUGUAAACUUCUGUUCUUAGUGAAGAUAGUGACGGUAGCUAAGGAGCAAGCCACGGCUAACUACGUGUCAGCAGCCGCGGUAAUCUGAGCGGGCUGGCAAGGC